CACGUAGGGCGCGAGCGUUGUCCGGAAUUAUUGGGCGUAAAGAGCUUGUAGGCGGCCUGUUGCGUCCGCUGUGAAAGCCCGGGGCUUAACCCCGGGUCUGCAGUGGAUACGGGCAGGCUAGAGGUAGGUAGGGGAGAAUGGAAUUCCCGGUGUAGCGGUGAAAUGCGCAGAUAUCGGGAGGAACACCGGUGGCGAAGGCGGUUCUCUGGGCCUUACCUGACGCUGAGGAGCGAAAGCGUGGGGAGCGAACAGG
RNAcentral lists this ribosomal RNA (253 nucleotides) under uncultured bacterium. RNAcentral describes it as "partial 16S ribosomal RNA". It matches the Rfam family "Bacterial small subunit ribosomal RNA", at positions 524 to 776 of the family's 1533-position model. The record is from RNAcentral.